RNAcentral lists this ribosomal RNA (484 nucleotides) under uncultured bacterium. Its description in RNAcentral is "partial 16S ribosomal RNA". It matches the Rfam family "Bacterial small subunit ribosomal RNA", at positions 30 to 507 of the family's 1533-position model. The record is from RNAcentral.
AUUGAACGCUGGCGGCAGGCCUAACACAUGCAAGUCGAGCGGAUGAAGGGAGCUUGCUCCUGGAUUCAGCGGCGGACGGGUGAGUAAUGCCUAGGAAUCUGCCUGGUAGUGGGGGAUAACGUCCGGAAACGGGCGCUAAUCCUGCAUACGUCCUGAGGGAGAAAGUGGGGGAUCUUCGGACCUCACGCUAUCAGAUGAGCCUAGGUCGGAUUAGCUAGUUGGUGGGGUAAAGGCCUACCAAGGCGACGAUCCGUAACUGGUCUGAGAGGAUGAUCAGUCACACUGGAACUGAGACACGGUCCAGACUCCUACGGGAGGCAGCAGUGGGGAAUAUUGGACGAUGGGCGAAAGCCUGAUCCAGGCAUGCCGCGUGUGUGAAGAAGGUCUUCGGAUUGUAAAGCACUUUAAGUUGGGAGGAAGGGCAGUAAGUUAAUACCUUGCUGUUUUGACGUUACCAACAGAAUAAGCACCGGCUAACUUCGUG